UAGCGUAGGGUGCAAGCGUUAAUCGGAAUUACUGGGACGUAAAGCGUGCGCAGGCGGUUAUGCAAGACAGAUGUGAAAUCCCCGGGCUCAACCUGGGAACUGCAUUUGUGACUGCAUAGCUAGAGUACGGUAGAGGGGGAUGGAAUUCCGCGUGUAGCAGUGAAAUGCGUAGAUAUGCGGAGGAACACCGAUGGCGAAGGCAAUCCCCUGGACCUGUACUGACGCUCAUGCACGAAAGCGUGGGGAGCAAACAGG
RNAcentral lists this ribosomal RNA (255 nucleotides) under uncultured bacterium. RNAcentral's name for it is "partial 16S ribosomal RNA". It matches the Rfam family "Bacterial small subunit ribosomal RNA", at positions 523 to 776 of the family's 1533-position model. The record is from RNAcentral.